Molecule: ribosomal RNA, 241 nt
Filed under: uncultured bacterium
Lineage: Bacteria
Description: partial 16S ribosomal RNA
Rfam family: Bacterial small subunit ribosomal RNA
Source: RNAcentral
AGCGGCGGACGGGUGAGUAACGCGUGGGUAACCUGCCUCAGUACAGGGGGAUAACAGUUGGAAACGGCUGCUAAUACCGCAUAAGCGCACAGUACCGCAUGGUACGGUGUGAAAAGCUCCGGUGGUAUGAGAUGGACCCGCGUCUGAUUAGGUAGUUGGUGGGGUAACGGCCUACCAAGCCGACGAUCAGUAGCCGACCUGAGAGGGUGACCGGCCACAUUGGGACUGAGACACGGCCCAA